This is a non-coding RNA of Pongo abelii (Sumatran orangutan), 309 nucleotides long. The record is from Rfam. NCBI's taxonomy places the organism in Eukaryota, Metazoa, Chordata, Mammalia, Primates, Hominidae.
GGAUGGAAGGCGAUCUGGCUGUGACAUCUGUCACCCCAGUGAUCACCCGGGUUGAUUCAGCUGAUCUUGCUGACAAGUCAGGUGUCCCCUUCCCCAUCACCACUCCAUGUGUGACCUCCUGAAGCUGUGCCAAAGCUUCCCCAAUAGAGGAGGACCAGUCUUCGGUCACAGAUAUACGAAUAGCUGCACUCUCCUCCUAGAACCUCCAAAAAAGCUCUCAAACUUCACUGGGGACUCCUGUCUGCAGAGGUUUUGCCUUUCCUGUCUGCAAGGCCUCAGCCACCACCACUAUCCCCUCUGCAGGCCAAG